This 702-nucleotide long non-coding RNA is filed under the name Phoenix dactylifera (date palm). Its description in RNAcentral is "long non-coding RNA (PDAC_LNC019258)". The record is from RNAcentral. Lineage: Eukaryota; Viridiplantae; Streptophyta; Magnoliopsida; Arecales; Arecaceae.
AGCUUGUAUUGCUAAAUCAUCUAUUAUGUCCAUCGAAACAUCAGAGAAGUUUUUUUUGGUAUCUCAUCUUUUUUGCUUUCUCCAUUUGCAAGAGAGUUUUGAUCCAUUUGAUGAUGAUAGAGAGAUUUUUUUCUGAGUGAAAAUCUCUGUAACUUGUUGGAGCGAAUCCAUCAUGUUUUGUAUAUUAUAAGUGAAUGUCACAAAGAAAGUCUUUGGAUGUUAAUGUUUUUUUUUGAAAGUGCAAUACUUUAAGGAAGUACUUCAACCUAGAAACAGUCUCAUAUUCUAUCGCCUGAGGAAGCAAUGAUGUUGCUGUUACCUUUUGGAAUUGAACAUGAGACAUGCAUAUUCCUUUAUUCUUUUGGUUUUUUAUUUAAACUAAGAAUCGGAGAAGACAUGUUGUUUUCUACCCAACUGCAUGUUGCUACAAGGAGUGGCUAGUGUUAGGUGUGACAAUGGAGAUUUUUCUGGGUGAUAAUCUCCUUAACUUGUUGGAGCAAACCAAUCAUGUUUGUAAAUUCCUAAGUAAACGUCACAUAGAAAGUCUUUGGGUGUUGAUGGUUCUUUUAGAAAGUUCAACCUUUUAGAAAGUUCCUCCACUUGAUGGCAGUCUCAUAUUCCAGCGCCUGGAGAAGCAGCAUCACUGCCAUUACCUUUCGGGACUGGCCAUGAGACAUACAUACACCUCUAUUCUUUUUUUUU